UUCUACUACUUCUCCUCUUCUCUUCUUCUACUUCUCCUCUCCUCCUCUUCUAAUUUUUUCUCUUCUUCUACUUCCCCUCUUCUUCUAUUUUUCCUCUUCUUCUCCUCUCCUCCUCUUCUUAUUCUCCUUUUUCUUCUUUUCUUCUCCUCCUCUUCUUAUUUUCAUUUUUCCCAAUUCUACAUAUUACUAACCCUAAUAAUCUAGCACAAACCUAAUAACAAUAGGAAUUAAAUGACAAAAAAAAA
This 245-nucleotide long non-coding RNA is filed under the name Hordeum vulgare. Its description in RNAcentral is "long non-coding RNA (HVUL_LNC004716)". The record is from RNAcentral. Lineage: Eukaryota; Viridiplantae; Streptophyta; Magnoliopsida; Poales; Poaceae.